GGGGAUUUGGCUCAGUGGUAGAGCGCUUGCCUAGCAAGCACAAGGCCCUGGGUUCGGUCCCCAGCUCUG
This is a non-coding RNA of Rattus norvegicus (Norway rat), 69 nucleotides long. The record is from Rfam. NCBI's taxonomy places the organism in Eukaryota, Metazoa, Chordata, Mammalia, Rodentia, Muridae.